AGGCACUAUGCUAUGCAAUUGUGAGCCAGAGAUGGAGACAUAGCCCCUGACAAGGCUGUUGUGUGUGGUUGCCCAGCUUGAGCACUGCACAAAAUUGCCUCAUCCAUUGCAGAGGGCAAAGGAGGAUGAGGCUUGAAAUUUAGCCCAAGUUCUGCUCAUAAACCUUGGCCCUGACCCUGGCUACAUUGCACAAAUUCUACAAGCCAAGAUGUGUCUAUGAAGCUGACGCUAACCAGAGGCGGAAGAGCAUUACAAAUUGAGUGAAGCUCCUAGUUGGGUUAACGGCAGCCCUGGCCCCAGGAUCUCAAAAGCAGCCUGAAAAGCAGAUGAUGACAAUGGAACAUGGAUAUGCAGCCCCUGGGGCGAACCUGAGUGUUUGAAAUGCAUGGCAACAAUGUUUAAUUCAUGGCAACAAUGAAUCAGUGCUCUAAGGAAGAAAGAAGUGAAUGGCAAGAUUGCACUUGCCCUCACAGGACUGCCAGCCAGAAACUACAUUUCCCAGCAUCCCUUGCAGCUUGGUAUGGCCAUGUGACCACAUUCUCAUUAAUACAGGGGAAAGAAAUUUUCAAAACUAUGGGAGUAG
This 583-nucleotide long non-coding RNA is filed under the name Homo sapiens (human). RNAcentral describes it as "HSALNT0071210". The record is from RNAcentral. Lineage: Eukaryota; Metazoa; Chordata; Mammalia; Primates; Hominidae.